This is a non-coding RNA of Melampsora americana, 87 nucleotides long. Lineage: Eukaryota; Fungi; Basidiomycota; Pucciniomycetes; Pucciniales; Melampsoraceae. The record is from the annotation of a GenBank genome assembly.
GUCUCUAUGGCGCAACUGGUUAGCGCGUCCGACUGUUAUGAUUCAAAUGCGAUCGGGAGGUUGACAGUUCGAGUCUGUCUAGUGACG